This is a long non-coding RNA of Sus scrofa (pig), 1327 nucleotides long. RefSeq lists it as uncharacterized. The record is from RefSeq and is a predicted model, not a curated record. NCBI's taxonomy places the organism in Eukaryota, Metazoa, Chordata, Mammalia, Artiodactyla, Suidae.
GCUGUCUCCGCCUGCUGGGGAGGGCUGCUCGAGUUUAAGGGCGGCUGAGCAGUUUUGGUGCGUUUCCUAGUUUUCCUUCUGCAAAGAACAGAAGAUGGAGCAUUCCCGCAGGUCCUUUCCCGGGCAACAAGAACAAGAUAACACGUUCACUUUAUCACAACUUUUCUGAAGGAAUCACUGGAGAAAAUGAUGAAUUUUAAUAAAUAUGCUAUUUAAAAAGUCAUGAAGAAAGCUAUAAAAGUACUCGAGGAAAAAGAAAAAAUUAGAAGUUAAGGAGAUCCAUCAAAAUUGGAAAUAUAAAGGGAAUUAUCAGUUAUUGGAUUCUUCAAAACACAAAAUCAUAUAAUGUAAAAUGCUAUAAAUUUAGUGAAGAAAGACGUAUUGAUCAAAACUGCUUCCCACCUGUAAAAGGAUCUGCUACAGGGAGUGUGUUAGAAGAUCCUGAUGAAGAGCCUGGAACAUAUCGACCACCACCUGUGCAUGCAAACAAAGGAAAUUUGGAGUACGCCCACGUAGAGAAUUUCAUAAAUGGCACAAUACUUACAUUAGAAUUAAUGUGUGGAGAAAUAUAGAAGAACAUGGCUGCUACAUGACAGAAUAAAAGGAAAUACAGUCAGAAGUCUUACAGUUGGAAAGACUACUGAGAAACUAAAAUUUCAGUGAUUCUUCAUGUUUUGCUUUUGUUAACAUUAAUACUUCAUUAUAUCCUAGCUUCUGCAUUUAAAUAUUAAAAUAACUAGGAAUUCAAAUACAAAAAGAUAAAUUGUAGUUGGUCUCUGACCUAAAUAAUAUACACAUAAAAUCAGUUCUUGUUCCUAUCCAAAUUCACUAGAACUCCUGCUGUUGCUGUUGCUAUGAAAACCACAGGCAUCAAAUGUUAAUAUUUUAGAGAACCCCUGGGUUCAUUAAUUCAUGUGUCAAAUAGUGCAUUCAGUGCUGAGAUCCAGCAGGGAACAAGAUUGCUUGUAUCCACUGAAGCUUACAACCUACUGGAGAAGAAAAUUACAAAGGGUUUGAGUGCUACAAAGGAAACAGAUUUGCAUUUAUAUGUUUACAAAUGUGUGGUGUGUGUAAGUAGACUUUGUUAGUAUCUCUAGAGGAAUAAUUAGAGACAUCUACCAAAAAAUAUAUCUAAGGAUACUGAUUUCAGAAGAGCCAAAUUGUUGUCUAUUUCCAGAUGGAGCCAGUUGCUUUAAUGUGUCCUCUACCCCACAAAACAGUUUACAUGAUACUGUAAUCAUGUGUUCACUCUUUUGUAUUACAGUCUGAUUCCAACCAACUGAAAUAUCCAGGUAAUAAAUAGUUUUUUUCCCUCUUUUUCUAUCAA